GUGGGGUGCAGAGCAUCGAAAAACAGUCAGAAAAACGGGUGAAAAUACAGAGUAAAACGAAAAUGUUAGUGGUCACUUCAUCGCUUUGGGUUAUUCGGAAUGUGAGAGACGUCAUUACUGAUAAAGUUUGGAUACUAAAACACGCGUCGGAGCUGUUUUUGUCGAACAGGAGUGAGGCUGCACGUGUAACACACCGGCUACGUCAUGGAUGCAAACAUGAGGCACAAGUCAGAAGAGAGUACAAGAAGCUGACCGUGUUCCACAUAAAUCAGCAACACCUUUGAUGACUGCAGGCCUGACAGUCGAAACAUGUCAGUUCUCACACUGCAAAGCAUGAUGGGGAUAAUCUGCACCUGUGAGCUGGAGAUGAGGGAUUCUGCCUUAUCAGUGAUGGAGUUGAUGUUGCACCAGACAGGAGCCGUGCUGACUGCCUCCACAUCCAGGACUCGAACUUCAACCAGGAAACACAUCAGCUCACAGGGAGAAGAGAGACAGACAUGAAGAUUUACAGUAGGUCAGUGUUAGUUUAUUUUUCUUACUUUUCAGUCUGACUUUGUCAUUAUCUGAGCUGUAGUUUGACAGUUUAAAAUCUGUUGCCUGAAACAAACAUCAACAAGGACUCAAACUUCAACCAGGAAACAGUUGAACUCACAGAGAGAAGAGAAACUGACAUGAAGAUUUACAGGACUCAAACUUCAACCAGGAAACAGUUGAACUCACAGAGAGAAGAGAAACUGACAUGAAGAUUUACAGGACUCAGACUUCAACCAGGAAACACUUCAGCUCACAGAGAGAAGAGAGACUGACAUGAAGAUUUACAGGUCCAGAACCUCAGGUCUGAUGGUGUGGUCUCCUCCACCUGCAGAGACAGAAUUUCUACUGUUAAUUACUACUUCAUUGCUAAUUUCCUGCUAGUAUUAAACAGCAUUAUUACUAUUAUUACUAUUAAUCAUUAUUAAUUACUACUCUUCUACACAUUUGCUGCUAAUGAUAACUUUAAUUACCACUUUCCUAUUUGUUAGUUGUAUGUUACUAAUUAUGUUACUAAUUAGUAA
Lates calcarifer (barramundi perch) is the source of this 1055-nucleotide long non-coding RNA. RefSeq lists it as uncharacterized. Lineage: Eukaryota; Metazoa; Chordata; Actinopteri; Centropomidae. The transcript is spliced from 8 exons. The record is from RefSeq and is a predicted model, not a curated record.